Long non-coding RNA from Papaver somniferum (opium poppy), 1284 nucleotides. RefSeq lists it as uncharacterized. The transcript is spliced from 2 exons. The record is from RefSeq and is a predicted model, not a curated record. Lineage: Eukaryota; Viridiplantae; Streptophyta; Magnoliopsida; Ranunculales; Papaveraceae.
CUCUUUCUUUUUCUUCUAUGUUCUUCUUCUGCCUCUCCUUUUGUUCUUCUUCUGUAGAAUUCGAGUGAUGAUUUGAGAGCACGUUUGAGAUCAGUUUUUGAUUGAUGAAUCUAUUCUGAUGGUGAAGGAGGUGUUGAUGUGAUUUAAGAAGGAGUGAUGCUGUUAUAAUCAGAAUUAGGGUUUGUAGAACCGAUUAGUGUUUUGAAUGUCUAGAAGAUGAAUUAUGGGGAUUAUUGUUGAUAAAGAAUCAUAGGUUUAAGUUCAAUUGAAGUUCUGAACUUGACUUGGGAUGAACUGGGAGCUAGGGUUUUCUGAAUGAUGAAGUUUGAUUGAGGUUUCAUGGGAUUGAUUAGUGUAUUGAGUUCCUGAUGGAAUUUUUUUGAAUGGGUUAUCGUUAAUUUGAUGUUUCGGGGUUGUGUGGAUGAAGAAUCAAAGAAUUAGAAAUUAGGGUUUAUGCUUUGUUCUUCCCUAAAUUGUGAAAUUAGGUAUAUGAAGAAAAUUAAGGAUGGGUUGAUAGAUUUGAAGAUGAAGAAUGAUGUUGUCAGUGUGAAUCUGAGAGUCGAAGAUUAGAAUUGAGAAUUAAGAUUUCAUGAUAAAGUUUAGGGCUGUUUAUAGAAUGAAGUGGAUACUAUAGAAGCAUAAUUAGAAAUGGGUUUAACUGAAUUAGAGUUUGAAGAAGAAGAUCUGCAGAAUCCAGUCAAGUAAGAAGAAGGGUUGAAUUGUGUUGCUGGAAUGGAAAUUACUUUUAGUGUGAUUACAGGAUUACUGGAGUUGUAGUUAAUGGAACUGGUAGAUACUCGUCUAAUGUUGCAGAUGAUAGAACUCAACUUGGUGGUGCUGUAAGAUUGCAGGGGAGAAGGCUUGAGUUGGGUGUUUUGUCAUGAGAAUGUGUUGAUGAUGAGAGAGCUGAUAUGGGUUUGAUUACAGAAGUAUGUGUUGAACUUUAGUGAAACUGAAUAAGAGAAUGAUGUUUCACUGUAUGUCUGAGAAGGUAGAGGUAAUUGAAUAUAGAUUGAAGCUAUAGUUAUGAAUUGGGUUGUGUCUGUUAACCAAGGGAAUUGGUAUUGGAUUGAGUUAAUACAUGGUUUGAGAUAUAAGAACUAGUAUUGGUUUGUACUGCAAGAAGUGCAAGUGGGAAAUGAAUAGAAUGGUGAUUGUAGAAUUGUAAAUAGUGAUUGCUGUGAAAGCUUGGAAAAGCUGCAACUGCAGGUAGGCUAUAGUUGUGUUUGCAAUUGAAUUGUUGAAUUCUUUUUUGAAUGAAUGCAAUGUUUAGUAGUUGUAUAA